Molecule: ribosomal RNA, 470 nt
Filed under: uncultured bacterium
Lineage: Bacteria
Description: SSU rRNA
Rfam family: Bacterial small subunit ribosomal RNA
Source: RNAcentral
AGGAUAAACGCUGGCGGCGUGCCUAACACAUGCAAGUCGAACGCGCUUUCGGGCUUCGGUGCGAGAGCGAGUGGCGGACGGGUGAGUAACACAUGGGUACCUACCUUGGAGUGAGGGAUACCGGCGAGAAAUCGCCGACAAUACCGCAUAGGCUUCUUCACAAGGGAAGCAAAGUGACGCGAGUCACGCUUUGAGAUGGGCCUGUGGCCGAUUAGCUAGUUGGGGGGGUAACGGCUUCCCAAGGCGACGAUCGGUAGCUGGUCUGAGAGGACGAUCAGCCACACUGGGAUUGAGAACGGCCCAGACUCCUACGGGGGCAGCAGUGAGGAAUUUUCCGCAAUGGAGGCAACUCUGACGGAGCAACGCCGCGUGCAGGAGGAAGGUUUUCGGAUCGUAAACUGCUUUUCUCGGGGACGAGCAAGGACGGUACCCGAGGAAGAAGCCCCGGCUAACUACGUGCCAGCAGCCGC